GGCUCAGGAUGAACGCUAGCGGCAGGCCUUAUACAUGCAAGUCGAGGGGUAACAUGAUAUAGCAAUAUAUUGAUGACGACCGGCGUAUGGGUGAGUAACACGUACGUAAUCUGCCCCAUAUAGAAGGAUAACUCCUAGAAAUGGGAACUAAUACUUCAUGCAGUCUUGAGGGGAAUCUUUCAAGAUAAAAGAUUUAUCGAUAUGGGAUGAGCGUGCGCUCUAUUAGUUAGUUGGUAGGGUAAUGGCCUACCAAGACGAUGAUGGAUAGGGGUUCUGAGAGGAAGGUCCCCCACAUUGGCACUGAAAUACGGGCCAGACUCCUACGGGAGGCAGCAGUAGGGAAUAUUGGUCAAUGGACGCAAGUCUGAACCAGCCAUGCCGCGUGAAUGGAUGAAGGUCCUAUGGAUUGUAAACAUCUUUUGUAUAAGAAUAAAAUAAUCUUGCGAGGUUAAAUGAAUGUAUUAUACGAAUAAAUACCGGCUAACUCCGUGCCAGCAGCCGC
RNAcentral lists this ribosomal RNA (502 nucleotides) under uncultured bacterium. RNAcentral's name for it is "bacterial SSU rRNA". It matches the Rfam family "Bacterial small subunit ribosomal RNA", at positions 21 to 518 of the family's 1533-position model. The record is from RNAcentral.